AGGGAAAUAGCUGGGUGGUAGAGCACAUGCUUGGCAUGCAUGAGGUCCUGGGUUCAACCCCAGUACCUCCA
Molecule: transfer RNA, 71 nt
Filed under: Camelus bactrianus (Bactrian camel)
Lineage: Eukaryota; Metazoa; Chordata; Mammalia; Artiodactyla; Camelidae
Also listed under: 1 other name
Rfam family: tRNA
About the family: Transfer RNA (tRNA) molecules are approximately 80 nucleotides in length. Their secondary structure includes four short double-helical elements and three loops (D, anti-codon, and T loops).
Source: Rfam by way of RNAcentral